This 500-nucleotide ribosomal RNA is filed under the name uncultured bacterium. RNAcentral's name for it is "partial 16S ribosomal RNA". It matches the Rfam family "Bacterial small subunit ribosomal RNA", at positions 30 to 523 of the family's 1533-position model. The record is from RNAcentral.
AUUGAACGCUGGCGGCAUGCCUUACACAUACAAGUCGAACGGCAGCACGGACUUCGGUCUGGUGGCGAGUGGCGAACGGGUGAGUAAUACAUCGGAACGUACCCAGUAAUGGGGGAUAACUAUCCGAAAGGAUAGCUAAUACCGCAUACGCCCUACGGGGGAAAGAGGGGGAUCGCAAGACCUCUUGUUAUUGGAGCGGCCGAUGGCUGAUUAGCUAGUUGGUAGGGUAAAGGCCUACCAAGGCAACGAUCAGUAGCGGGUCUUAGAGGACGAUCCGCCACACUGGAACUGAGACACGGUCCAGACUCCUACGGGAGGCAGCAGUGGGGAAUCUUGGACAAUGGGCGCAAGCCUGAUCCAGCAAUGCCGCGUGCGUGAAGAAGGCCUUCGGGUUGUAAAGCGCUUUUGUCAGGGAGCAAAUCCUUGUGGCUAAUACCCACCGGGGAUGAGAGUACCUGAAGAAUAAGGACCGGCUAACUACGUGCCAGCCGCCGCGGUAA